CGCCAAGCCAGCAUGGCCUUGCGGCCGCCGUGCAGUCCAAGUCGAGAACUCAGCAGUCCCAGGCGACGGCCGCCUGCUUCUCCACGGGAACGCGGCAAUGCCCAAGCCGCAAGGAUGUCUCCAUACUAAUUUCCACACUCCAGCACGUCCCGCUUAUUACAGGUGGCCCGGAACCGUCAAGGAAGGCCGCUUUCACGACACUUUCACGACACCCAGCAGCUUGGGCGCCCCCGGACGGCAGCGGCAAGCAUGUGCAGCUAAAGCUGGCGAGUUCGUUCGCCCUGCAGCUCUUUCGCCUUCAGGCUAAGAAGAAUGACAGGCAGAGAAAACCAGGAGCGAGUGCCACGUGGCCAUAGGAAGCCAGUCAUCUCAGGCCUCGACCCGAAAGCCUCUGGUGCCAAGUUGCCCUCAGUGCUGGGCUUGAAUCCAGGGCCUCCCAGGCAAGGGCAGUACCAGUGGAACAGCACCGAGUUCCUGUCAAAUGGCAAUCAACAGUUUUGCAGUCUUUCCACCAUCCUCCUUCAGUCUAGUCUGAAAGCAUACAAUCAUCUUAAGGUUGUUCUUAAAGCUUGAAUUAAAUUUAACGAUUAUAGAUUUGAGGAACAUUUUAUCAAGACCAUUUUAAACUUUGUUUUGUUUUUGGAGACCAGAUCUCUUCAUAUGGCCCUGACUGGUCUGGAACUUGCUUUGCAGACCAGGUUGGGCUUCCACUCGAAGAUAUGCCUGACUCUGUCUCCCAAGGGCCAGAAUUAAAGGCAUCUACUACCAUGCCUCGCUAUCUUUAAUUUCUUGUGCACCCAUUGGAACACUGCUGUUAAGAGAAAAAGCUAGGGACUAGAGAAAUGGCUCAGUGGUUGAAAGCACUGGCAGCUCUUCAGAAGACCCAGAUUAGAUCUUAGCACCCACAUGGUGGCUCUUAAUCUAACUCUAGUUCCAGGAGUUCUGAUUCCCUCUUCUGCCUUCCAUAGAACCAGGCACACAGAUGCCACAGACAUAUAUUCAGGCAAAACGUUAAAAAUUAAGAAGAUCUUUAAGAUUCCAAACAUGUUAAAUAGGAAAAAAAUCCACAUUAUACAUUAAAAGAAAAUCCAAGGAUGUUAUUUUAACAAUGUUAAGACGUUAUUUUUAAACUACCAUUGGAACGGUUCAUCUCAAAAACUUGGGAUAAUUCUGGCGAGAAGAAGGCAAAGGGAAGAAGAAGCAGAGACCAGAGCCUUUGUAGUGAGACAGUGGUGGGUGGUAGCCAGCAAGAGAUGAAACCCGUGGGGUUUGGGCUAGAGGGUACCUGAUGGUUUCUUUGGAGUUACAAAAGCUGCCUGGCUGGAAGAUGUAAACCGCUUUAGCUAUUUGUUUAUUUAUUUGGUUUUUCGAGACAGGGUUUCUCUGUAUAGCCUUGGCUGUCCUGGAACUCACUACAUAGACCAGGCUGGCCCCAAAUUCAAGAUACCUCACCUGCCUCUGCCUCCUAAGUGCUGGGAUUAAAGGUGUGCACCACAAUCACCCCAUGUUCAGCUGUUAGUUUGGUACUGUGACAACAGAUACCAAAGAAACAAAUACAGAAUAUAAGAAAACAUUCAGCCGUUUCUCAUAAUUAGGCUUAUAGUCUCUUAUGUAACAGUCUUACCCUUAGACAUAACGACCUGAUAGGGCCAUCUUUCUUUGAAUGAUUGUGCAUUUCAUCUUCCUCUUUCAUGAAAAGCUACUAUGCAUUGACUUUUCUGAAAUAGGCUUUUCGUUCUAUUAACAAAUUAUCAGCUCUUCUUGCCCUUCAACACUCUAGGCUGGGCAAGGUCAGGUGCUCGCCUUUAAUUCCAGCACUCAGGAGGCAGAGGCAGGCAGCUCUCUGAGGUCCAGGCCAGACUGGCUUACAAAGCAAGUUUCCAGGACAGCCAGAGCUGUGACACAGAGAAACCCUGCCUGGAAAACCAAAAAACGAAUCCCCAGCUGGUGAGACAACUCAACUGGGAUCAACUGACUCAAUUCUCUGAGUUCACAAGAACACCAUGACACCCGUUGCCACCCUCCCCCAAAAUUAAGCAUAGAGAAAAACAUCUUUUAAAAGUAGACAUCACCAUAUUGAACUGUAGAUCCAGUUCAGUGUCCCUAGGUUCAAUUCACUACAUCAUUAUAUUUAGACUAACAACUACCAUUUGCUUCAAGUUAGGCCUUAAUAUUUUUAUGGUAUUUUGUGGCAUUUUAUCCCACAUUUCAUUUUCAUUUUGGAUGUAUUAUCAGUUAAAUGCACAUUAUAAAAUAUGAGUAUUUGUUUUA
Myodes glareolus (Bank vole) is the source of this 2271-nucleotide non-coding RNA. The record is from RefSeq and is a predicted model, not a curated record. Lineage: Eukaryota; Metazoa; Chordata; Mammalia; Rodentia; Cricetidae.